GAGAAAGACAAAAAGAUUGAAGUAAGCACUGCUAAUUCUUACACCCGUAGUUAAAAUCUACGGCUUACUCAA
RNAcentral lists this transfer RNA (72 nucleotides) under Oreichthys cosuatis. Its description in RNAcentral is "tRNA-Ser". The record is from RNAcentral. Lineage: Eukaryota; Metazoa; Chordata; Actinopteri; Cypriniformes; Cyprinidae.